GACGAACGCUGGCGGCGUGCUUAACACAUGCGAGUCGAACGGAAAGGCCCUGCUUUUGUGGGGUGCUCGAGUGGCGAACGGGUGAGUAACACGUGAGUAACCUGCCCUUGACUUUGGGAUAACUUCAGGAAACUGGGGCUAAUACCGGAUAGGAGCUCCUGCUGCAUGGUGGGGGUUGGAAAGUUUCGGCGGUUGGGGAUGGACUCGCGGCUUAUCAGCUUGUUGGUGGGGUAGUGGCUUACCAAGGCUUUGACGGGUAGCCGGCCUGAGAGGGUGACCGGCCGCCUGGCGCGUGCGGGCCGCGCCGGACGCCGGCGGGAGCGCGGCGUGGGGAAUCUCGAACGGCGGGGCGAAGCCUGUGCCGCCCCCGCGUGGGGCGGGUUGCACGCCUUCGGUUGACCCCCCGCUUCUGCCCGGGCGGAGGUGGGAUGUCCGUGAAUGGGAAACGACCCCCCGGCUAACCCCCUGCCAGCGCCCGCGGAAUAAUCGGACGCGACAACGUCUGUCC
This 508-nucleotide ribosomal RNA is filed under the name uncultured bacterium. Its description in RNAcentral is "partial 16S ribosomal RNA". It matches the Rfam family "Bacterial small subunit ribosomal RNA", at positions 28 to 546 of the family's 1533-position model. The record is from RNAcentral.